RNAcentral lists this ribosomal RNA (634 nucleotides) under Pseudomonas sp. WD10. RNAcentral describes it as "bacterial SSU rRNA". It matches the Rfam family "Bacterial small subunit ribosomal RNA", at positions 56 to 685 of the family's 1533-position model. The record is from RNAcentral. Lineage: Bacteria; Pseudomonadati; Pseudomonadota; Gammaproteobacteria; Pseudomonadales; Pseudomonadaceae.
UGCAAGUCGAGCGGUAGAGAGAAGCUUGCUUCUCUUGAGAGCGGCGGACGGGUGAGUAAUGCCUAGGAAUCUGCCUGGUAGUGGGGGAUAACGCUCGGAAACGGACGCUAAUACCGCAUACGUCCUACGGGAGAAAGCAGGGGACCUUCGGGCCUUGCGCUAUCAGAUGAGCCUAGGUCGGAUUAGCUAGUUGGUGAGGUAAUGGCUCACCAAGGCGACGAUCCGUAACUGGUCUGAGAGGAUGAUCAGUCACACUGGAACUGAGACACGGUCCAGACUCCUACGGGAGGCAGCAGUGGGGAAUAUUGGACAAUGGGCGAAAGCCUGAUCCAGCCAUGCCGCGUGUGUGAAGAAGGUCUUCGGAUUGUAAAGCACUUUAAGUUGGGAGGAAGGGCAGUUACCUAAUACGUAUCUGUUUUGACGUUACCGACAGAAUAAGCACCGGCUAACUCUGUGCCAGCAGCCGCGGUAAUACAGAGGGUGCAAGCGUUAAUCGGAAUUACUGGGCGUAAAGCGCGCGUAGGUGGUUUGUUAAGUUGGAUGUGAAAUCCCCGGGCUCAACCUGGGAACUGCAUUCAAAACUGACAAGCUAGAGUAUGGUAGAGGGUGGUGGAAUUUCCUGUGUAGCGGUGAA